ACACCGAUACUUUCGUGAAAUAUCAUAGCGCCUUCAACCCUUUUUCAGCAAAUCCUAUAUAUUACAAAUAUAAGUGGUCGACAUCGAGGGAGAAAGGUUCGAGGCUAGGGUUAGAGUUCGACUCACUCGACGUUGACGGUGAGAGCGAGGGCGGUGCGCUUGCGGGCUUGAGGGGAGCAGACGUAGUAGGCGAGGUCGUUGUCGAGAACGCGAUUUGCCGUGCCCACAGGCUUCAUGGGCAACGAUUCUUAGAAAAUAGAAACUAAUGAAAGGGAAGUCGAAGUAGCGACGUUACAAAGAAGAAAUUAUGAGAUGGAAAGUCGAAGAGACAUACGUUAUGAAAAAAAAUUAAUAAUACGAAAAGCGGAAGAGGUAAACGUUACGGGAAAGGAAAGCCGAAGAGACCGCUUAGCCAUUUGGUUCAAAAGAAGGGCAAGUGAGGGUGAAAGAUAGGCUGUCACGUGGCAAGAUUAGGAAAAAUAAUGUUAAGGUAUAGAUUAUGUAGUAGGUACAACACAUUAUUUAUAACCAGUUAGUUAUAUUUUUCUUUUGAGAGAAAAAUAUAAUAAAAUUAUUUUUUAAAAAAUUAUGAUGAAAUGGAUAAACUACAAAAUAGUAAUUUGAUUAGUUGUAGACAUCAUAUCAGUAAUAUAAUUAUUGCAUUCUAGACUUUUUCCUAAUUUGUCGCGUGCAUUUGUUGUUGGAGUACGAGUGAUUGUAUGGUUCACUAAUUUACAUAGUAGCCUAUCGCUUGUAUUUUGCGGGUGUGUACUACUAUGACCAGUAAGAAAUCCAGCUAGUAAAAUUGUGUCGCUUAUUAAUUGUCCUAUCAAAUUGUUCUUAAUGAUAGGAAUUCCGAAUCGAUAAUCGGAGCCGUUGAAGUUGAUUUAGAGUAUUUAAAAUAUCUAGAAAUUAAAUUUUACAAAUUUUAAAAAUUAUUUACAUGGUGAUCAAAGUGUCAUAAAAUCGACAAUUUUUGACGACUAUAUGAGCCGUUUGCUUGUUUAACGGUGUAGAGUAAUCCAAAUUACUUGAAUUUUUGACAGAAAAUUUUUUAUACUAUUUAGAUAAUGUUUGAUAACUCUGAUUAUGAAUUAAGAAAGUCUAACCUCUAUUUUAAGAAGAUUAUUCAUUUAUAACCGUUUAUUUUUUCGACUAUUCGAUAGACUUGAUAAUGAUUUUUAAAUAUUACAAAAUUUGAUUUCUAAAUAUUUCCAAUUGUAUAGAUCAAUUUCAACAAUGCCGAUCAAUUAUCAAUUUGAAGUUCCGAUCAUUCAAAUCGACUUAAUAGGACAAUAUCCUCAAUCCUAUUAAUAGGAUAGUAGAUGGACUCCAUAUGUAGAGAGGAAGAGAUCAAUUGAGCUUGUAUAUUUUUAAAAGUACCAAAUUAUUAGUGCUUAUAGAUUUUCGGCCCUUAAAUGAAAGAAUGUGCAGUUAGGAUGAUAAUAAUUCUCUAGAAUUAAAUAGAUGGUUGAUGAAAUAGCAUAAUAUAAGGGAUAAAAUUGGUGAAAAGAAUAGAUAUAACUAUGAGAAACUUAUUAGGAACAAAUACUUAGUGUUUUUAAAAACACCAUAGCCGAACUUAUAUAUACAUAUGUGUGUGCGUGAGCGCACGCGAACGUGACGUAGCAAUAAUGUCAAUAUAUCAAAACUAUGUUGUGCAUUGAAUCGGGCUUGUUGGAUUCCAUGCAUGUAAGAAAUUGUAGUAGAGGAAGGUUUAAAAUGCUAAUGUUACUUCCUUCGCCACAGUAAUAGAGAGCGGAUGGUUUUGUCUAAACCAUCCCAACUCUAAAACAAAUUUAAGAAAUUUCUCCUCAAGUGACGUAAUGCUAUGAGCCUAAAUUAGGCAAUUCUUUUUUAAAAAAAAUUAAGGCUAAAAAUCGUUUUUGAAGAUCUUCUAACGCUCCAAACUCGCGGUGGAUCAAACUACAAAUGAGCACGAUCACAAAUUCACCGUUCAAGUCCCUCUAGAAUAAUAGGUUAAUGGAGAAUGUGGUUUCUACGUUUCUUUCUUUUAUUUUCUUUUAUUUUCUUUUUAUUUUCUUUAUUUUAUGUGAAAUCGCCCGCAUAGUUAUAAUUUCUUUUAUUUUCUUAUUUUCUUUCUUUUUUUUUCAUUUUAUGUGAAAUCGCCCGCAUAGCUAUAAGGGAUUUCAAAAUCCUAAUAGAUGCGUAAGAAAUAAGGCCAAAUCGAUUAUUAAUUAUUAUCCUUACCUCUAAUUAACUUUUCAAUUUAAAAGCGAGAUUAAUUCUAAUCUAAUUAGAUAACUUAAUAACCAUCGGAUUGAGCUCGAUCAUGAGUGCAUCUGAUUCGAUUUAACCGAAUGCCAACGAGUAGCACACUGUUUCGUCGUAGUCGUGGCUUGUGCUUGGUCGCAUCCAGCCGGUUAAUGUGAUCGUGGCCUGAAUUGACACGACCCGUAUCACGGUAUCAGCUAUGCCAGCCAGGCUGGACAUCGCAGUGCUUUUUCUUUCCUUUGAUAUUCUUUUAUUUUUUUUCCUUUCUAUCUCAAAUAUAAUGUAAACUAGUUAGAGUUUAAAUAUUUAAAAAAAAAAAAUUUAAGAAGAAAAACUUAUUUACUUAAUAGAAAACAAUACAUAUUUUAUAAACUUAAUAUUAAAAAAGUAAAAUUACAAAAUUUAAAAUAAAUCAUGAAACUAGCUGGCUGUGAUUUAGUAAUGGAGUGUUAUUAAUUUGUUUCUACCUAAGUGAUAAAUAAGGGCGUGCAUGUGCGGAUGUUGCCUAGAUGAGCAAUUAUCCUGCUUGCUUUUACCCUGUGGAGGAAAUUAAUCUAUUGCUAGUGUAGGAAACCGCGCGAUGCUGCGGAUAUAAUCAUAUUUGAUUAAAUUUAAUAAUAUAAAAAAUAUUUUAAAAUUUUUAGAAUAAAAUUAUAAUUUAAUAAAAAAUAACGAAAGAUAGAAAAAAUUAUAGGAGAAAAAAAUAUGUUACAUAGAAAUCGGACCCCUUUGUAUCCUCAUUUAGGGCAUUCACUACUAACACCGAUACUUUCGUGAAAUAUCAUAGCGCCUUCAACCCUUUUUCAGCAAAUCCUAUAUAUUACAAAUAUAAGUGGUCGACAUCGAGGGAGAAAGGUUCGAGGCUAGGGUUAGAGUUCGACUCACUCGACGUUGACGGUGAGAGCGAGGGCGGUGCGCUUGCGGGCUUGAGGGGAGCAGACGUAGUAGGCGAGGUCGUUGUCGAGAACGCGAUUUGCCGUGCCCACAGGCUUCAUGGGCAACGAUUCUUAGAAAAUAGAAACUAAUGAAAGGGAAGUCGAAGUAGCGACGUUACAAAGAAGAAAUUAUGAGAUGGAAAGUCGAAGAGACAUACGUUAUGAAAAAAAAUUAAUAAUACGAAAAGCGGAAGAGGUAAACGUUACGGGAAAGGAAAGCCGAAGAGACCGCUUAGCCAUUUGGUUCAAAAGAAGGGCAAGUGAGGGUGAAAGAUAGGCUGUCACGUGGCAAGAUUAGGAAAAAUAAUGUUAAGGUAUAGAUUAUGUAGUAGGUACAACACAUUAUUUAUAACCAGUUAGUUAUAUUUUUCUUUUGAGAGAAAAAUAUAAUAAAAUUAUUUUUUAAAAAAUUAUGAUGAAAUGGAUAAACUACAAAAUAGUAAUUUGAUUAGUUGUAGACAUCAUAUCAGUAAUAUAAUUAUUGCAUUCU
This 3660-nucleotide long non-coding RNA is filed under the name Ananas comosus (pineapple). RNAcentral describes it as "long non-coding RNA (ACOM_LNC008230)". Lineage: Eukaryota; Viridiplantae; Streptophyta; Magnoliopsida; Poales; Bromeliaceae. The record is from RNAcentral.